UAAGGAAUAUUGGUCAAUGGACGCAAGUCUGAACCAGCCAUGCCGCGUGCAGGAAGACGGCCCUACGGGUUGUAAACUGCUUUUGUACCGGAAUAAACCUUUGGUCGUGACCGAAGCUGAAUGUACGGUAAGAAUAAGGAUCGGCUAACUCCGUGCCAGCAGCCGCGGUAAUACGGAGGAUCCAAGCGUUAUCCGGAUUUAUUGGGUUUAAAGGGUGCGUAGGCGGCCUAUUAAGUCAGGGGUGAAAGACGGUAGCUUAACUAUCGCAGUGCCUUUGAUACUGAUGGGCUUGAAUGUACUUGAGGUAGGCGGAAUGUGACAAGUAGCGGUGAAAUGCAUAGAUAUGUCACAGAACACCAAUUGCGAAGGCAGCUUACUAAAGUAUGAUUGACGCUGAGGC
Molecule: ribosomal RNA, 400 nt
Filed under: uncultured bacterium
Lineage: Bacteria
Description: bacterial SSU rRNA
Rfam family: Bacterial small subunit ribosomal RNA
Source: RNAcentral